This 3728-nucleotide long non-coding RNA is filed under the name Sus scrofa (pig). RNAcentral's name for it is "lncRNA (ENSSSCG00000057626.1)". Lineage: Eukaryota; Metazoa; Chordata; Mammalia; Artiodactyla; Suidae. The record is from RNAcentral.
CACCACAGCUCAUAACAACGCCGGACCCUUAACCCACUGAGCGAGGCCAGGAAUAGAACCCAAGUCCUCAUGGGUAUAAGUCAUAUUCAUUAACCACUGAGCCACAGCGGGGCUCACCCUAGGUCAGGGAUUGAAUCUGAUUUGAGCUGCAGCUAUGAACUAUGCCACAGCUGCAGCAACACUGGCUCCUUAGCCCACUGUGCUAGGCCAGGGAUCAAACCCACACCUCUGUAGCACCCUGAGCUGCUGCAGUUGGGUUCAUAACCCACUGCACUACAGUGGGAACUCCCAUCUCUAUUUUUUUUCUGUCUUUUGUCUUUUUAGGGCCACAACCACAGCAUAUGAAGGUUCUCAGACUAGGGGUCUAAUCAGAACUGUUGCUGCCAGCCUACGCCAGAGCCACAGCAACACCAGAUCCCAGCCGCAUCUGUGACCUGCGCCACAGCUCAUGGCGAUGCCAGAUCCCAAACCCACUGAGCAAGGCCGGGGAUCGAAUCUGCAACCUCAUGGUUCCUAGUCGGAUUCAUUUCCGCUGUGCCACGAUGGGAACGCCCCGUCUCUGUUUUUGUGCACCACCCUGCUCUGCUCCACCACGGGUCAUUCUCCCUCUUCUCUGUCCCCUAUCCCUCCCCCCAGCUGGUCAUCAGACCCCUUGUGGGGCCGUGCUGACUCCUGGUGGGAAGACUUCCCAGUAAUGUUUCACAGCCUGCGGAAAAGAAGCAGACAAUGGCUAGAACCUCAAAGGCCCCUGAAUCUCUUCCCACUCCCGGCCCACGGGGAGCCCGCCUCUUUCCUCAGUUUCUUCCUUUUGUAGUGGGUGACCCUGCAGCUUGCUGGGGUGGUCAGAUGCAGGGUGAAGGGGGGAAACUCACUCAGUUAGCAGGGACCCCUCAGAACGGAGAGCGCAUUCCUGUGGCCAGGAGCUGCCUGGCCAGGGGCUCUGGGGCGAUGAGGGGGCGCGGUCUGGGCAGAGGCCUGCAGGGAUUGGGGCUGCCCCGUCUGGGGCAUUGGUGGUUCCAGGAAGAGGGCUGUUCUCUCAGAGCCCUCUCUUUGGCUGAUUUUGCAUUUGAAUUACAAACAGGGAUAAAGCUGGAGGCAGAUGGGAGCAGCAGAGGGAACCCUGCAGGCAGCGGGGAGCCUGAGCAGAGGCAAAAAUGAGGCUAAUCAUACGUGUGUUAUAUCUGCCAGGGAGGUGCCUGGCUCACUUGGCAUCGAGAGCCUUCUUAGGAGAGGUACAGAGAAGGAUGGAGGAGGGGUUAAACAGGAAGGCACCCUUUGGGCUGCCUCCCCCCUCCACCCCAGGGGCUAAUAGAGCUUGGGAAUCUUCUCCAAGCAGGCCAUGGUGAUUCUUAUAACGCAACACAUCUUGGACUCAGGAAAGGAGAACUGGAGGAGAAUAAAAACGGACCCUCUGAAGUUCAAAUACACUGCUCCCCAGCGGGGUCGCUUUCCAUCCCUCUCCUCCAAACACAGCCUUUCCCGUGUUUGCUGUUCUGGUGGCCGCUGUCAUCUCUCGAGAUGGAGUUUUCCAUUCUUGGAAGGAAGCUCUGCCCAAGCCAAGGGUGUGGCCACAACUUCCUAAAGCGCCCGUGGAGCCCCACCGAGAAACUCAAGGCCACGGCCCUGGGGAGCGGUGGGCGGCUCUACGGGUGUCUGGCUGGUGGAUCUCUGCUCCGGGCCCCAGCUAACAGGCUGUUAGCAGCUUCCCCAAGGAGACACACGUUUUUAGUUGCAUCACUUUCACAGGCUUUUCUCAUCAGUUCAGCUUUUUUAUUUGUUGUUCUAAGCUGCUGGCUUACCUUGUCUUUAUCAGCUCUUACCCUGCGUCCUGACCAUCUCUCAAGUGGGAAAGUGCCUGGCAAAACAUCAAUUUCCUCUGAAUGGAGCGUCUGAAUUGUCCAUGAAAUGAAAGCUUGUUCCCUGGGAGAACUUUAAUAGAGCCUCGGCCCAGAGGUUGUAGCUGAGCCACUUGGACUUUUGGUGCCACCAGGGACAAAACACCUCAAUAUUGGCGUGUACCGUGUUAAUGCGUGUCAGAGCAUGCGCGUGACUAUAGUUGUGCACUUACACAGGCACUCACAUGUACACACACCCACGGGGCUGGAAGGGCAGGGCCUGGGGUGGGGGGAAGGCUCUUUUAAAGGGACAGUUCUUUUCCUCUCACCUGCGGAGCUCCGGGUUAGCAUGGCGAAGGUUGAAACCAGUCCCAGCUCUGCCUCUAAGUUGCUGUGGGUCCUUGGGGAAGUCACUUCACUUCUCUGAGCUCCAUCUGCAAAGUGGAUACAAAAACCUAGAGACUCAGAGUGUAUGCCAUGCUGUAGUCAGCCUUUAAGGCAAGAAACAGAAGCCACUCUAGGUAUUUCAAGCAGAAAGGGAUUUUAUACAGAGAAUGAGGAUUUUCUAAAAUCCUUGGAAGAGCGAAAUGAAAUCAAAGGUUGCCGGGUAGGGAACCUACUGUUCCCAUCAAAGUCACCCCCACUCCUUGAAGCUGGUGAUGGGACCGUAGAGCCCAGCCACCACCAGCACUUGUGUCUGCCUGGCCCUGCUUGUCUGACCCUCACCUCUGCAGAGACGUCACGACUCCUCUGAACACCUCUCUCCAAAUCCAGAAGAAAUACAUCUAAUGGGUAGAACCUGAACUGAGCUACAAGGCGACCUGGGAAGUGUAGUUUCUAGCUUUGCAGGCUCUGGAGAUAGAAGGUGAAAUGCAGAAGCAGUGGGAGCAUCUGGCACAGCCUUUUUGCUCCCAAGUUCAUGAUUCUGCCGGGGAGAUGAUCAGCAGAAACAUCAGGUUGUCUAAGUUGUUCUUGGCCUUGCCACACUUCACCGGGGCUCCUGAGCGGCUCCCAGCCUGAAAGGAGAGACAGCCCUGCACGUGGGGCCCUGGGUUUGGAUGCCUGUGAGGUCUACUUCUGACCUCCAUGCUCUGUGGGAGUGCGAGGGUCAGGAAGGAACCUGCCAGUUGCCUCUCUUCCCGUGGUCCCUCCUGCCCCAGUUCCCAUCCUCGUGUGAGAGUGAACAAUAGGAUUUGAAGGACCGAGAAUUGCAGGAGGAACUUGGGGAGGAAAUCAAGGGUUUUCUUCUGGAGUCACAUGGCCAAAACCUUGACUCUAUUAUCUAGGGAUAGAUGGCUCCCUCCUCAGCUGGGAAGGAUGGGGUAGGCAGGAUGCAGCAGAAUCUGAGUUCAGCGGGGGUCUGGCGUGGGCCAGGGACAGAGGGGACCAGCUCCACCGCCCUGCUCUCCCCUGACAGGGAAAGGGAUGCUGAGCAGAGUGGAGGGUCGGAGGCUGGCUGCUGCUGGUGGGCUGCGAGCAACAGCGGCAGGGGAAGGAAUGGGGGUUUACACACUGUUCACCGAGAAACUCCCCUGGGUCUGCAUCGCUCCUUUAAAUUGGCACUGAUUGUGCCUCCCUCCCCAUGCCUGUCGGUAGAACAGCAGGGAGGGAAGAUGCCAAGGAGGGAGGAAACGCAGCUCCUUCAAAAGCUGGGCUCCUGGGAGUUCCCGUUGUGGCUCAGUGGUAACAAGCCUGACUAGUAUCUGUGAGGAUGUAGGCUCGAUCCUUGGCCUUGCUCAGUGGAUUAAGGAUCUGGUGUUGCCGUGAGCUGUGGUGUAGGUCACAGAUGCGGCUUGGAUCCCGCAUCGCUGUGGCUGUGGUGUAGGCUGGCAGCUGUAGCUCCAGUUCGACCCCUAGCUUGGGAACUUCCUUCCAUAUGCCGCAGGUGUGGCC